Juglans regia (Persian walnut) is the source of this 3321-nucleotide long non-coding RNA. RefSeq lists it as uncharacterized. The record is from RefSeq and is a predicted model, not a curated record. The transcript is spliced from 3 exons. NCBI's taxonomy places the organism in Eukaryota, Viridiplantae, Streptophyta, Magnoliopsida, Fagales, Juglandaceae.
AAUGUACCAGAUUCUAACUUGAAAAUAUAGCCAGAUUUGUCAAGCAUUCUUAGAGAAAUCAAAUUUCUCUUCAGUUCAACCCCUCCGUUUAUUUCGCACCAUCUUCCCUUCCUCACGGACUGGUUUUGCUCGUCGAUCUCGUAGACCACGAUUUGCAUUAGAAGUGCUUCAAAUCUAAAACACAGUUCAAGCAUCCCGUUGCCUGCUUGAGGUAAAGUUUCUGAAAAAAUUCUCCCCGUCGCGCCUCCUUUUCCAAGUGGGUUUUGGGUAUGCUUCAACCUCUUCUUUCUCAAUCUCUCUAUUCUCCUUUUGAUAAGCUAUGUAAAAAUUUUUAGUGGAUGAAAUCUAAGAUUCUCGAGCAUGUUGGUAUGAUUUUGGAUUUUUUUUUUCUUGUGCAAAUUUGGGGAUGCUCGAAUAUUUGGAGUUUUUUGUUUUAUUUUUCUUGGUCCAGCAACUCGCAACACUUUUGGAAAAUUUGGAUGCUACCUUAUUGGAAAGUUUUAUUUUUCUUGGUUCAGCAACUCGCAACACUUGUUUUAUUUUAAGGUUGAUGCCUUGAAAUCGAUUUCUUCCCAGUUUGCAGGAAGAUUUGGUUGGGAAUUUUUUUAUUAAUCGGUUGACGACUUAGAAAAAUCCUGCGUGGUUGAUUCUCCGACAUGACCAAUUUCAGUUAGGAAAGAAUACAGAUUUCUUUACAUGAUUUCCUUUUCCAAAGAUCCCGAGCAUGUAUUUGUCAACCUUUUAAAUUUGCUACAAGGUGUAUCUGCUCUUAAUUUUCCUUUGUUUCACUGAAAGAGAAACCGUGGCAAGCCACCAAGUUGAAAGAGAAACAUAUCUUUGUAAUCUUUCUAGUCAAGGGUUGUAGCCAAGCCACCAAGUCCCUAAACCUCAUUGGUUUCAAGCCUCUAGUUCUUAUGAAUGCUUUAUUUAGUGCCAAAAUGAGAAUUUGGAUGAUUGGUUAAAAUAUUCUGCUUAUACUUUCAAGCAUAUAGUGUAAUGCCAACUCUAAGGUGUACCUGCUCCAUUAUUAAGCUUAGAAGAUUGUACCAAGCAUAUAAUGUAAUGCCAACUUUAAGCAAAGCUCUAAGAUGAUAUGGAGUAUGCCUACUUGUAGAUUAUUUAAACUCCGUAUUUCCUCUGUUUUCAAUUAUAGUACCUACAGAUAUUGUAGAAACCAUUUUAAUUUUUGCCUCUCUUUUUGCUGUAGCUAGAUAAGGUAUUAAUUUUUCCCUAUGUUUUUGCAGUAGCUAGAAACCAUAUCAAUUUUUGCCUCUAAUUUUGGUUGAGUUUUUAUUAAAACAUGAGGUACUUAUCAUUUAGAAUUUUACAGACUUCUUAAUUGAGUUUGAUUGAGUUGCAUGAUCCCAACUUUUUUUGCUUUGAAGGAUGGAUUCACAAACCAUGGAGGGGGGAAGAGUAUUCUGCUAUGUGAACCUUUCUAAAAAAAUAUUGUGAAUUUAAUGGAGUUAUAUGUCUGAAAAAUGAACUCUGAGACAAGCAUUCUUCACGUGGAGUUAUAUAUGUCUGCUCUUUAGAUUUUCUUACUCAUGCUUGUUUUCAUUAGUGGGGAGUUGACUUAUAUGUUAAUCAUAUUUGUAAUCGUAUAAGGUGUCCUCCACUUUCUUCCAUUAUGAGUAAAAUAGUAUUGAUUCAUCUCGAUUCUAUAUUAUAUGAGUAUAGAACCUGUCCUUCAUUGAAAGCAUAGAGAAGAGGAUUCAAAGUACUAGCCAAAUGGGCCUGAGCACCGGGAUUCCAAGUGUACUCUCUGGAUUCCAAGUGUGAAAUAGUUUUUUUAGAUAUGUAUGCGAUGCUUGUCUUAUUUACUUUUGAGAUAUAUGCAGUGGUUUGAAGGCACAAAAACUCUUCACCACCAUCAAAAAGUUGUAUGUUGGAAUCCUUGUUUGGUUGUUUUCACAUUUAUAAUCAAGGUAUGCCACAGUUAUGAAUCUAUGAUAAGUUAGAUGAUGAUCGUGCAGGUCAAACUUGCAUCAUUUCACAACAAAUACUUGAGAAGCGAGAAGAUAGGAAAGAGAUUAUCUGUCUCGCAAAAGGGAGGCUUGAGUUGGACCAAAGGAGAGAGGAAAAGGAAUUAUGAGGAUGGACCAAAGUUUUGAAUACCGUUUCGGUGACCGUUUCAGUUAAGACAUUGGAAUAAAAUAUUUCUGUACCGGUACCGUUUCAGUGAAGAGUUAUCACGAAAUGUCAGCAUUCCAUCAGGAAACGACUUUGUGACCGUCAGUAGAGUCCUACUGCAGAUCAAAUUCAUACCAGACUCAUUCGGUUAGCAGAGUCCUACUACAUAUCAAACUCCUAUCAGAUUUGUUCUGUCAACAUAAUUCUACUGCAAUUGGAAUUGAUUUUCAGAUUAUUUAUUUAAGAGAUCCUAUUGGUUAGGAUUUUACUUAUAAAAAAAAAAAAAAGAGAUCCUAUUGGUUAGGAUCAUUAGAGAUUCAGAUCUGCAUAUUUUCUAAAGCACUUUCUAGUGCAUAUUUUGAUGAGAGAAUUCCUUGGAGAAUUUUCAUACUGUUUCUCUUAGAGAGUGGUACUUGAGUGUGAGAAAAUUCUCUUAGUGUUUUAUCUCUCAUUUUGAGUGUGUGCAUACUCCAUGUUGGAAAAUUGAUUGGUCGAGUUUCAGUCAUUGGAGUUUUAGGAGAAAAGUCAAUAUUUGAAGAUCGUUAGAGGUUCGCUGCUACUGCGGUAGAAAACAAAUGAGUCAUUUUUCUGGUCAAGUAAGAGUGUCAAUUGACAAAAGUUUUGUAAUUAAAUUUUACUUGUAAUUGAUUUUCAAAUUAGAAAAUUGACUUUUCUGGAUUUGAUUGCUCCGUAGGGUUUUUACCUUUAAAUAGUUCUUUAUAAGGUUUCCUUUCGAUACCAAUCUUGGUGUUAUUUAUUUUAUAUUAUUGUUUAAUUAAUAAAUUAAUUGCAUCCAUAACGACUAACCAAUUUGUUGAAUAAAUUUGUAGAUAUUUUCGCUGCAUUACAGGGGUACUUGGGUUAUUUCAGUAAAGAACACAGCACAAACCUGGAAGCCCAUGUGUGAAUGCAUAUUGACUAGAGCACACCACCAGUAGAUAGUUAUAUUUUGAUUCUUUUUUGUAAAUAAAGCAAGGAAAGUUGACACUAAACCGUGGGUGGUUACUAACUACAAGGAAGCUGCCACUUUAGAAGCAGCUACUUUAUAUUUAUAUUUGGAUCAUGUGUUCUCUUUUUUGAAAUUAUGAGGGUGGCACACUAAACUACCUUGUAUGAAUAUUGUGGUGUAUUUUGGAUGUAUGAAUAUUAAUUUCUGAAUAUUGUGGAUGUAUGUAUUCAAGUUGUGAA